This 328-nucleotide long non-coding RNA is filed under the name Phoenix dactylifera (date palm). RNAcentral describes it as "long non-coding RNA (PDAC_LNC010145)". The record is from RNAcentral. Lineage: Eukaryota; Viridiplantae; Streptophyta; Magnoliopsida; Arecales; Arecaceae.
GGGCGCGAUGGAGUGGCCACUGACAUGGCCGUUACAGGGCGUCGUGGAGCAGCGCUGGGUACGGCCAUGACAGGGCGUAAUGGAGUUCCGCUUUGUACGGCUGAUACAGGAGAUCGUGGAACAGCAUCGGAUACAGCCGUUGCAGGGAGUAGUGGAGCAGGAGGCCUCGGCGUGCCUCUGGGAAGCAGCCUUUCGUUAUCAAGAGAUCUCCGACUCGGGGUCGGAGUGCUGGAUCAGGGGACAGCCGACUCGGGGUCGGGCUGCGGUGCUGAGGAUAUCCGACUUGGGGUCGGAUUGCUAGAUUAAGGGGCAGCCGACUCGGGGUCGG